RNAcentral lists this ribosomal RNA (442 nucleotides) under uncultured Chloroflexota bacterium. RNAcentral's name for it is "bacterial SSU rRNA". It matches the Rfam family "Bacterial small subunit ribosomal RNA", at positions 338 to 795 of the family's 1533-position model. The record is from RNAcentral. Lineage: Bacteria; Bacillati; Chloroflexota.
CCUACGGGGGGCUGCAGUGAGGAAUAUUGGGCAAUGGGCGAAAGCCUGACCCAGCAACGCCGCGUGAGGGAUGAAGGCCUUCGGGUUGUAAACCUCUUUUCUGGGAGAAGAGACAAGGACGGUAUCCCAGGAAUAAGUCUCGGCUAACUACGUGCCAGCAGCCGCGGUAAUACGUAGGAGGCAAGCGUUAUCCGGAUUCACUGGGCGUAAAGCGCACGCAGGCGGUUAUGUAAGUCGGACGUGAAAGCUCCUGGCUCAACUGGGAGAGGUCGUUCGAUACUGCAUAGCUUGAGGUUGGGAGAGGGAAGCGGAAUUCCCGGUGUAGUGGUGGAAUGCGUAGAUAUCGGGAGGAACACCAGUGGCGAAAGCGGCUUCCUGGCCCAUACCUGACGCUCAGGUGCGAAAGCGUGGGGAGCGAACGGGAUUAGAUACCCCGGUAGUC